Molecule: transfer RNA, 77 nt
Filed under: Camponotus floridanus (Florida carpenter ant)
Lineage: Eukaryota; Metazoa; Arthropoda; Insecta; Hymenoptera; Formicidae
Rfam family: tRNA
About the family: Transfer RNA (tRNA) molecules are approximately 80 nucleotides in length.
Source: Rfam by way of RNAcentral
GUCUGGAUAGCUCAGUGGUCUAGAGCAGUUGCUCGGAAAGCGAAAGACUCGGGUCACUUCGAUUCCCGAUCUAGCCA